CAGGAAACCGAGUCUUAACUGGGCGUUAAGUUGCAGGGUAUGACCCAGUGAUCAGCCAUGGGCAGGUUGAAGGUUGGGUAACACUAACUGGAGGACCGAACCGACUAAUGUUGAAAAAUUAGCGGAUGACUUGUGGCUGGGGGUGAAAGGCCAAUCAAACCGGGAGAUAGCUGGUUCUCCCGAAAGCUAUUUAGGUAGCGCCUCGUGAACUCAUCUUCGGGGGUAGAGCACUGUUUCGGCUAGGGGGUCAUCCCGACUUACCAACCCGAUGCAAACUACGAAUACCGAAGAAUGUUAUCACGGGAGACACACGGCGGGUGCUAACGUCCGUCGUGAAGAGGGAAACAACCCAGACCGCCAGCUAAGGUCCCAAAGUCAUGGUUAAGUGGGAAACGAUGUGGAAGGCACAGACAGCCGAUGUUGGCUUAGAAGCAGCCAUCAUUUAAAGAAAGCGUAAUAGCUCACUGGUCGAGUCGGCCUGCGCGGAAGAUGGGGCUAAACCAUGCACCGAAGCUGCGGCAGCGACACUAUGUGUUGUUGGGUAGGGGAGCGUUCUGUAAGCCUGCGAAGGUGUGCUGUGAGGCAUGCUGGAGGUAUCAGAAGUGCGAAUGCUGACAUAAGUAACGAUAGCGGGUGAAAAGCCCGCUCGCCGGAAGACCAAGGGUUCCUGUCCAACGUUAAUCGGGGCAGGGUGAGUCGACCCUAAGGCGAGGCCGAAAGGCGUAGUCGAUGGGAAACAGGUUAAUAUUCCUGUACUUGGUGUUACUGCGAAGGGGGACGGAGAAGGCUAUGUUAGCCGGGCGACGGUUGUCCCGGUUUAAGCAUGUAGGCUGGUUAUCCGUGCAAAUCCGGAUAAUCAAGGCUGAGGUGUGAUGACGAGGCACUACGGUGCUGAAGUAACAAAUGCCCUGCUUCCGGAAAAGCCUCUAAGCAUCAGGUAACAUCAAAUCGUACCCCAAACCGACACAGGUGGUCAGGUAGAGAAUACCAAGGCGCUUGAGAGAACUCGGGUGAAGGAACUAGGCAAAAUGGUGCCGUAACUUCGGGAGAAGGCACGCUGGUGUGUAGGUGAAGUCCCUGCGGGUGGAGCUGAGACCAGUCGAAGAUACCAGCUGGCUGCAACUGUUUAUUAAAAACACAGCACUGUGCAAACACGAAAGUGGACGUAUACGGUGUGACGCCUGCCCGGUGCCGGAAGGUUAAUUGAUGGGGUUAUCCGUAAGGAGAAGCUCUUGAUCGAAGCCCGGUAAACGGCGGCCGUAACUAUAACGGUCCUAAGGUAGCGAAAUUCCUUGUCGGGUAAGUUCCGACCUGCACGAAUGGCGUAAUGAUGGCGGGCUGUCUCCACCCGAGACUCAGUGAAAUUGAACUCGCUGUGAAGAUGCAGUGUACCCGCGGCAAGACGGAAAGACCCCGUGAACCUUUACUAUAGCUUGACACUGAACAUUGAGCCUUGAUGUGUAGGAUAGGUGGGAGGCUUUGAAGCGUGGACGCCAGUCUGCGUGGAGCCAACCUUGAAAUACCACCCUUUAAUGUUUGAUGUUCUAACGUUGGCCCCUGACCGGGGUUGCGGACAGUGUCUGGUGGGUAGUUUGACUGGGGCGGUCUCCUCCCAAAGCGUAACGGAGGAGCACGAAGGUUAGCUAAUCUGGUCGGACAUCAGGAGGUUAGUGCAAUGGCAUAAGCUAGCUUGACUGCGAGCGUGACGGCGCGAGCAGGUGCGAAAGCAGGUCAUAGUGAUCCGGUGGUUCUGAAUGGAAGGGCCAUCGCUCAACGGAUAAAAGGUACUCCGGGGAUAACAGGCUGAUACCGCCCAAGAGUUCAUAUCGACGGCGGUGUUUGGCACCUCGAUGUCGGCUCAUCACAUCCUGGGGCUGAAGUAGGUCCCAAGGGUAUGGCUGUUCGCCAUUUAAAGUGGUACGCGAGCUGGGUUUAGAACGUCGUGAGACAGUUCGGUCCCUAUCUGCCGUGGGCGCUGGAGAAUUGAGGGGGCUGCUCCUAGUACGAGAGGACCGGAGUGGACGCAUCACUGGUGUUCGGGUUGUCAUGCCAAUGGCACUGCCCGGUAGCUAAAUGCGGAAGAGAUAAGUGCUGAAAGCAUCUAAGCACGAAACUUGCCCCGAGAUGAGUUCUCCCUGAGACUUUAAGUCUCCUGAAGGAACGUUAAAGACGAUGACGUUGAUAGGCCGGGUGUGUAAGCGCAGCGAUGCGUUGAGCUAACCGGUACUAAUGAACCGUGAGGCUUAACCUU
RNAcentral lists this ribosomal RNA (2251 nucleotides) under Klebsiella pneumoniae. Its description in RNAcentral is "partial 23S ribosomal RNA". It matches the Rfam family "Bacterial large subunit ribosomal RNA", at positions 668 to 2925 of the family's 2925-position model. The record is from RNAcentral. Lineage: Bacteria; Pseudomonadati; Pseudomonadota; Gammaproteobacteria; Enterobacterales; Enterobacteriaceae.